GGCCAGACUCCUACGGGAGGCAGCAGUGGGGAAUAUUGCACAAUGGGGGAAACCCUGAUGCAGCGACGCCGCGUGAGCGAUGAAGUAUUUCGGUAUGUAAAGCUCUAUCAGCAGGGAAGAAGAUGACGGUACCUGACUAAGAAGCCCCGGCUAACUACGUGCCAGCAGCCGCGGUAAUACGUAGGGGGCGAGCGUUAUCCGGAUUCACUGGGUGUAAAGGGAGCGUAGACGGCCAUGCAAGCCAGGGGUGAAAGCCCGGGGCCCAACCCCGGGACUGCCCUUGGAACUGCAUGGCUGGAGUGCGGGAGGGGCAGGCGGAAUUCCUGGUGUAGCGGUGAAAUGCGUAGAUAUCAGGAGGAACACCAGUGGCGAAGGCGGCCUGCUGGACGAUGACUGACGUUGAGGCUCGAAAGCGUGGGGAGCAAACAGGAUUAGAUACCCCAGUACC
RNAcentral lists this ribosomal RNA (448 nucleotides) under uncultured bacterium. RNAcentral describes it as "bacterial SSU rRNA". It matches the Rfam family "Bacterial small subunit ribosomal RNA", at positions 329 to 794 of the family's 1533-position model. The record is from RNAcentral.